AUGAACCGCUCCUGUGGCUUAGUGGUUAGAGCGUCCGCCUCAGCAGCGGGAGGUUGUGGGUUCUAUCCCCGGUCGAGUCAUA
Molecule: non-coding RNA, 82 nt
Organism: Potamilus streckersoni
Lineage: Eukaryota; Metazoa; Mollusca; Bivalvia; Unionida; Unionidae
Source: the annotation of a GenBank genome assembly